GUGGGGAAUAUUCCGCAAUGGACGAAAGUCUGACGGAGCAACGCCGCGUGAGUGAUGAAGGUUUUCGGACUGUAAAGCUCUGUUGUUUGGGACGAAAGUGCCUGUUGCGAACAGUUACGGGUAUUGACGGUACUAAACGAGGAAGCCACGGCUAACUACGUGCCAGCAGCCGCGGUAAUACGUAGGUGGCAAGCGUUGUCCGGAAUUAUUGGGCGUAAAGAGCAUGUAGGCGGGAAUCUAAGUCUGUUGUGAAAAUGCGGGGCUCAACCCCGUAUUGCGAUGGAAACUGGGUUUCUUGAGUGCAGGAGAGGAAAGGGGAAUUCCCAGUGUAGCGGUGAAAUGCGUAGAUAUUGGGAGGAACACCAGUGGCGAAGGCGCCUUUCUGGACUGUGUCUGACGCUGAGAUGCGAAAGCCAGGGUAGCGAACGGGAUUAGAAACCCUAGUAGUCC
Molecule: ribosomal RNA, 450 nt
Filed under: uncultured bacterium
Lineage: Bacteria
Description: bacterial SSU rRNA
Rfam family: Bacterial small subunit ribosomal RNA
Source: RNAcentral